GAAUCUACCUAGUUCUACGGAACAACAGAGGGAAACUUCUGCUAAUACCGUAUACGCCCUAUGGGGGAAAGAUUUAUCGGAAUUAGAUGAGCCCGCGUAAGAUUAGCUAGUUGGUGAGGUAAUGGCUCACCAAGGCGACGAUCUUUAGCUGGUCUGAGAGGAUGAUCAGCCACACUGGGACUGAGACACGGCCCAGACUCCUACGGGAGGCAGCAGUGGGGAAUAUUGGACAAUGGGCGCAAGCCUGAUCCAGCCAUGCCGCGUGAGUGAUGAAGGCCUUAGGGUUGUAAAGCUCUUUCAGUAGGGAAGAUAAUGACGGUACCUACAGAAGAAGCCCCGGCUAACUUCGUGCCAGCAGCCGCGGUAAUACGAAGGGGGCUAGCGUUGUUCGGAUUUACUGGGCGUAAAGCGCACGUAGGCGGAUUGGUCAGUUAGAGGUGAAAUCCUGGAGCUCAACUCCAGAACUGCCUUUAAUACUGCCAGUCUCGAGUCCGGAAGAGGUGAGUGGAACUCCUAGUGUAGAGGUGGAAUUCGUAGAUAUAGAGAACCCCGGGCC
This 556-nucleotide ribosomal RNA is filed under the name Alphaproteobacteria bacterium. RNAcentral's name for it is "bacterial SSU rRNA". It matches the Rfam family "Bacterial small subunit ribosomal RNA", at positions 122 to 714 of the family's 1533-position model. Lineage: Bacteria; Pseudomonadati; Pseudomonadota; Alphaproteobacteria. The record is from RNAcentral.